GUGGGGAAUCUUCCACAAUGGACGAAAGUCUGAUGGAGCAACGCCGCGUGAGUGAAGAAGGGUUUCGGCUCGUAAAGCUCUGUUGUCGGGGACGAAUGUGCAGUAUUUGAAUAAAGUAGUGCAAUGACGGUACCUGACGAGGAAGCCACGGCUAACUACGUGCCAGCAGCCGCGGUAAUACGUAGGUGGCAAGCGUUGUCCGGAAUUAUUGGGCGUAAAGGGAGCGCAGGCGGGAAGGUAAGUCGGUCUUAAAAGUGCGGGGCUCAACCCCGUGAUGGGAUCGAAACUAUCUUUCUUGAGUGCAGGAGAGGAAAGUGGAAUUCCUAGUGUAGCGGUGAAAUGCGUAGAUAUUAGGAGGAACACCAGUGGCGAAGGCGACUUUCUGGACGAUGUCUGACGCUGAGGCGCGAAAGCUAGGGGAGCGAACGGGAUUAGAAACCCCAGUAGUCC
Molecule: ribosomal RNA, 450 nt
Filed under: uncultured bacterium
Lineage: Bacteria
Description: partial 16S ribosomal RNA
Rfam family: Bacterial small subunit ribosomal RNA
Source: RNAcentral